CGAAAGAGAUUUGAGGAAGUCUGUCCCUAGUACGAGAGGACCGGGAUGGACGCAGCUCUGGUGUGCCAGUUGUUCCGCCAGGAGCAUGGCUGGUUGGCUACCUGCGGAAGGGAUAACCGCUGAAAGCAUCUAAGUGGGAAACCCGUUCCAAGAUGAGAUCUCUCACCGCAUUUGCGGGUAAGGCCCCUGGAAGACCACCAGGUUGAUAGGCCGGAUGUGUAAGCACAGUAAUGUGUUCAGCUGACCGGUACUAAUAGGCCGAGGGCUUGUGUUA
RNAcentral lists this ribosomal RNA (274 nucleotides) under Acidimicrobiia bacterium. RNAcentral describes it as "partial 23S ribosomal RNA". It matches the Rfam family "Bacterial large subunit ribosomal RNA", at positions 2652 to 2925 of the family's 2925-position model. The record is from RNAcentral. Lineage: Bacteria; Bacillati; Actinomycetota; Acidimicrobiia.